GACUUCGUGGCGCAAAGAUAGUGCAUCUGAUUUCAGACCAGAAGGUUGCGUGUUCAAAUCACGUCGAGGUCA
This is a non-coding RNA of Trichophaea hybrida, 72 nucleotides long. The record is from the annotation of a GenBank genome assembly. NCBI's taxonomy places the organism in Eukaryota, Fungi, Ascomycota, Pezizomycetes, Pezizales, Pyronemataceae.